UCAUCGAACAAAGUCAGAGUCAAUAGUUUCGAAGACUACUUCCGGAAAGAUCUCGGAAAUGUUUAUCCUACAUAAGCCGUAAACAUAUCUAGAAGAGGGCAGCACUCUCAAAAAGCAUUCAUACUUUUUAUUGUUUUUUUCAGGGCUAGAAAAAUCUUAACUGACAAGAAACAACCUGAUGCCUUCAACCCAGAAGGUUAUUUAACAUUGUCAAAGCACCUAAGUCGAAUUCAACUUGGGAAAGGAGAAGAUGAUGCACAACUUCAACAAGUUCACGCUUAUGAUGAUGGCUAUCUCUGCCCAACGGACCCACUAUAAUGGAUUACGACUAUCAAGAUCACUUCAAAAAAUGAUACUUAAAGAAUUCCAGAGGUCUAUAUCUUGAUUGCGCCUUCUACACACUCCGUCCAGUAAGAAAAAACCAACAAAUAUGCAAUUUAGUAUCUAUAGUAGUUCUUCAAUUAGUAUAGGCCUUUUAAUUUGGAUCUAAGGCUUUAGUGGCUUUACUACUUCCAUCCCAAAUUAUUAUUCACUUACUUUAAGUUUGUGUAAAUGUUCAAAGACCGUUGGUCCAACUCAUACUUUGUGGAAGAUUAGUUUAUUCAGGAACCUCUUUUACAUUCCAUCAUUAGUAAAAGAAAGUUUUCAUGACUGCUUGCCCAAAUGAUGUCAUGAUCUCUAAGGAAGCUCCUCAAUGAGGAUUCGAAAGGUUUCUUGAAAAUUCUCAUGGCUAAAGCUUUGGUUGAAGAUCCACAAUUCCACACUAUUUGAAACUUUAUGCCAAGGUAUUAUAGCUAAUAUUAUCAUGUGUAAUUUUAAUGGUCAUCGAUUAAAUUAGUUACCACGCAACAUUGCAUAAAGAAAGAAGGAAGAUAACAUUUUAAAAAAUAGCUGCUCCUCUUGAAAAGGAAAUGUUGGAUACUAAUCCAGGGGUGAGAUGGGAUGCUGAUGCAGGACUAAAUGAAGCAAAUAGUCUUCUACAGGAAGCAAUUUCCAUUAUGAAUGCCUAAAUAUUUUCAGUUACUAUAUAGGUUUUUUGGAGGUCUACACAUAAUUAACGUGGAAAUAAAUACAUCUUUUUCUUUGUGAUCUUUAGAGGAAGUAUAAGCGACGAAUUGUCAUAUAAACUUUUUUUUCCUUAUUGUUUCUGUUUUGUGCUUUUAUUUUCUCUUUAUUAUAAUGCUUUGUAUUUAUUCCUUUAACCUGGAAUUUGGAUUUUACUUGAGUAGGGGAUCAAUUGGAAGCAACCUUUCUACCUUGACAAUGUAGGGGUAAGACUGCGUACGCACCACUCUCACCCGACCUCACUUGUGUAAUUACACUGAAUAUGUUGUUGUUAUUGUAUACCACUUCAUUAGAAAGU
Molecule: long non-coding RNA, 1363 nt
Organism: Solanum dulcamara
Lineage: Eukaryota; Viridiplantae; Streptophyta; Magnoliopsida; Solanales; Solanaceae
Exons: 3
Source: RefSeq, a predicted model, not a curated record